GCCGAAACCUCUUCCCCCGUGCGUGCCAUUUCUCUUCUCCUCCGCCGAAUUCACCCGUGCCCUAACCUCCUAGCGCCGGCGGUUAUCUCUUCUCCUCCGAUUGAACGCCGGCCAAGCUUCUUCUUCCCCUCUCUUCCGAGCUGUGCCGCCCGAUUCUGUCUCUUCCGCCGCAGAUCUCUUCUCUUCUCCUUCUUUCUCCCUGAGCCCAGUACCGUUCCUCUCUUCCUCUCUUCUCCCGAGCGCCGAUAGUUGGCGAAUCACCUCUUCUCUGGCUUGGAUCGCGUCGCCCUCUCACCCCACGGAGCAACGCCGACGCGACUCACGGCUGAGCCCUAGCGCCGGUCGCGAUUCUUUUUGUUCUGUCACGCCUUCCCUCUACCCUAAUGCCGACCGCCCCUUGAUCAUCUUCCCGAGCCAAGCCCUAGAGUCAAGCUAAUUUCGUCGGAGGAAACCUCCGCAGCUUGAGGUGGGUUCUCUCAUCAAGGUAGGUUGAGGUAUGAAUCGAUUGGUGGCUCUAUCUCUAGUUCCAGCAGCAGCUCCAUUGAUCACACUUUUCCAGCGGUUAGGUCUUCGGCUGUGAGAUAACAGGGGAGCAGUAUAUGAAGGGUAUUGGAUUUGGAAAUCAACAACUCCAUCUUGUUCCGGCCGUGAUCUUCGGUAGCGAGCACUUCUCCUGUUGUGAAUUAACAGUGAGGUCUCCUAUUCGGGACUUGGAUUUGGGACAAGCGUCUCGACAUGGGAACACUGGACACAGUCUACGUAUGGAGGCGGGU
Molecule: long non-coding RNA, 773 nt
Organism: Zingiber officinale
Lineage: Eukaryota; Viridiplantae; Streptophyta; Magnoliopsida; Zingiberales; Zingiberaceae
Exons: 4
Source: RefSeq, a predicted model, not a curated record